Long non-coding RNA from Lotus japonicus, 623 nucleotides. RefSeq lists it as uncharacterized. The record is from RefSeq and is a predicted model, not a curated record. The transcript is spliced from 2 exons. Lineage: Eukaryota; Viridiplantae; Streptophyta; Magnoliopsida; Fabales; Fabaceae.
UGGAAGCAGUGAAUAUGUUGAUAGAAGAACGAGAUGCAUUAUUGCUGGAAUUGAGGGGCAAUCUUCUUAAGGCUCAAGAUCAGAUGAGGGCACAAGCAAAUAAGCAUAGGAGAUAUGUGGACUAUCAAGUGGGUAAUUGGGUUUUCCUUAAAUUGCAGCCUUACAAAUUGCAAAAUUUAGCUCAGAGGAAGAAUCAGAAGUUGAGCCCUAGGUUUUACGGUCCUUUUAAGGUCCUGGAGAGGGUUGUUCAGGUUCUGCCAGCUUCUGUUUUGUCCUAUAGAGAGACUCCAGCUGGAGGAAGGGAGGUGUUGGUGCAGUGGCAAGAUUUUCCAGGUUGUGAGAGGAUAGACCUGUUCACUAAAGUCUAUCAAAGAAGGGGAAAAAUAGAGGGUUAGUUAGAUUUUGCCAUGUGGAAGUUAGGUUGUUAUAACUGUUAGUGGGAAAAACAGUUACAAAGGGGGAUAUAAAUAGUGAAUUAGAACUGUCAGUGAGUUAGUUAGUUCUGGAACUGGAAAAUUGUGGAGAGAAUUGGGACUCUCGAAAUUCCCAGUGCUUGUACCAAUUCCUAUUCCCAAUUGGGAUUAAGGUUCUGGAAUAAUACAAUUCUCAGUAGUUCUACUUCA